UGGUGUUGCUAAGUGCAUCUGGUGUCUGGACAAUAUUAGAUAAUACAUGAAGUAUUUACAGCAUGAAUGAUUGCCCAGACACCAGAUGCACUUAGCAACACCAGUUGAUUGCAAGAUUGUACAGCAAUUUCUAAUAGGUUAAGGUUGCAUAUGAGUAGUAGCAUGACCGAAGGUCUUCUCACUGCUGUAACACAUGUACAGAAAUCCAUCCUCGUCCUUGAAGGAUUCAUAGAUAGAGUACAUUAGAGCAGCUGUCUGAGGUAAGGUAUCCUUGACGAACACAAAAAGAGCUUUUCCAGUUGUCAAAUGAAGCCUGCUACUUAGUACAUGAAUGAAUUGCCCUACAGACAUGUCUCGAGGAACCAGAUAUUUUUUCUUUUCCAUUUCAGGAAGGUCAGUUUUGCAAUACCUCUCAACAAUUACGGGAACUCGGUCUGGGUAUUUGGCAAUAAUAUCACGAGAUUCUUCACGUCUUUGCUCGAAAGUGAACUCGUCCUUGAAUGACUUGUCUUUCCCCAUUAUUAAUCGGUAUGUCUGGAAGCGAUGGAUAGAGAGAGAGAGAGAGAAGAAACGGAUAGAGCACGGAACACGAUACAGAUGAUUAGG
Molecule: unclassified non-coding RNA, 606 nt
Filed under: Hevea brasiliensis (rubber tree)
Lineage: Eukaryota; Viridiplantae; Streptophyta; Magnoliopsida; Malpighiales; Euphorbiaceae
Source: RNAcentral